UCCUGCGGAUAUAUAUAUAUUAUCGGUAUGCCGACGAACGUAAAUCAUAUUUCAUUAUUUUACAGGUUUAAGAGGAUUUUCGGCGUUGAAUGACGUCUUUGGUCGGAGUCAUUAUAUGCCUGUUUAACCUGAAUCGUAUCUGUUCCAAAAUGAUGGAUUGUUUCUAGAGAAAUUAUAUAAUGGUUUUUAUAAUUUUACAAAGGUUGAACGACUCGAAAGAUUAUCACAUCCUUGAGAGCUCAGCAGCCCCGUAGCAACAAGGCCCUUUUGUAUGCGAAGAACUGUUGGGUUGCGUUCAAAGGCAUGCGGAAUAUGCCAUGGAAUUUCAAGCGGGCCCAACGGCCGGACGUUGAAUCAUGUCGGGCGUGAACGCGCGCCUCGAUCUUCGACGAAUCAUGCCCAAAAUCGACGUGAUGUGACCUCCUCUCUGAAAAUAAUGCCACACGCCGUUUUCCCGUACUUAUCGGUUGGCUUUUCGCACGAAUCGGCAAGAUCUGAGAGUAUGCGAAGGAGGAGGAUCGACAUGGGUCCAGAACGCGUUGGACGAGACGUGGACGCGACGUGAACGUCUUCGCUCACCGGGGCCGUCUCCCCCUCCUGUUCGUUGAGGAGACCUACUUUGCACAUGGCCUACUUGCGGAAGACGACGGUCACGCGAGAAGCCAACAGCAGCAGCAGCAGCAACAGCAAUGAACCGAUAUGUGUCUCUUGUAAAAGAGCAAGCUUCGAGAAUAUAAAGAUGGCAACGAGAGAGUUGUCUCUUUCUUUCUUUAUAGAGUCAGAGAAAGAAAGAAAGAAGAGAAAGAGAGAGAGAAAGAGAGAGAGACGUCGGAUGAGCUAAAUUCCUUAGUGCUUCGCAGGCUUAGACCGGUGUCUCUCAAACUCGACGAUAUCACCAAAAAUAACUUUCGAAACGAAGAUAUAGAGUUUUCUAAAUCUAAGACUUUUCCUACGAUCUUCUAUGUAUCUAUUUUAAUCUAAAAUAAGUAACGGAUCCUUCUAUUUCUAUCGAUCCUUCUAAUAACCAUAUAUUCAU
Vespa velutina is the source of this 1036-nucleotide long non-coding RNA. RefSeq lists it as uncharacterized. The record is from RefSeq and is a predicted model, not a curated record. NCBI's taxonomy places the organism in Eukaryota, Metazoa, Arthropoda, Insecta, Hymenoptera, Vespidae. The transcript is spliced from 3 exons.